AUAUAUAAAAAUGAAUUUCCGUCUGUCUGUCUGUCUGUCUGUCUGUCUGUCUGUCUGUCUGUCUGUCUGUCUGUCUGUCUGUCUGUCUGUCUGACCGCUAUGCAUUCGGAAAUUACUGAACCGAUCGGUGUGAAAUUUUGUAUGUGGGUAUGUUUGAGGCCGGGGAAGGUUCUUAGCUUGGUGUGAGAACUCUCCGGUCUCGGAAACGGGUGGCUCCCAUACAGAUGACUUUCGCGGGGACGUGCCAAUGGAGCUGUACGUCAAAAAACACAGUAGGCACGCAGUACGACGUUUGCCGAGAAACGUCGUGCGUGACGUGUCGUGCCAGCAAAAGACUUCCGCCAAAAAACAAACAAACAAAACAGGCAAAACCCGCGUCACAAGACUCCGCACGUGUCGGGAGCCGUUGGGAGAAGGUUCGCCCAAUCCGCUGCACCUGGACGGUCAACGUCACGAUUUGCGGCCAACAUCGCUUUUCAGGAGCGUAUUCACCAAAUUCUCCAAGAGGCGGACCUGACAAGAGAGAUCGGGCACGAUCGGGUAUCCUUGCGAAAAGGCACUGAAUCUAAACCACCCGCGAAUAAGCUCCAGAUCGAACUACUCGGCGGUUGGUGUAUCGCACCAAACAAGCCCCUUCACAGGGUAAAGAAAUAAUCCACAGUUAGGAUGAACAACACUUAACCUAAACACCCCACAGGGCUGAAAACAAACUGCGGCAAUUCAUCGCACACACGGCGUUAGACAUCAAGUCACGCACGGAACCCACGGUGCGAGCGAAUCGGCACAACCAGGCGCUUAGGCAUAGGCGAAUCACUUCAUCCGCAGAGCCAUCGGGAGUUCUCCAGACGCAGGUCACGAGACGAUAUCGAGAGUGGCAGCUACGAGAGUUAACGGCCUCGGCGAUUCGAGGGAACAUAUACCCACCGUUCGAUGAGGACGAUGGCGGAGUGUAAGCUGCCCGGCAUAUCGCUUGGAGACCACCAUUGGUGAGGCACAAUGGCACACGGUUGCUGAGGCAGUCACAAGGUCGGUGAGCUACGAAUACCUUAAGUUAAGCUAUACGAACUAGAGUUAAGAAAAAGUAGGGGAAGGUAGGAUCUUUGAAAAUAAGAGAAAUAAAAAAAAUGUAAUGACAAAUUAAGUUUGGGCUGCAGUUCGUUGAUUCUGUCAUUCUUGCAUCCCUGAUUGCAAUUAACAUUUCAAAAGUGAUUGGUCUCGGAACCACCACAAUCGAUAGGUUUUACGACAUACAUCUGCUUGAAAGGGACUUUAAAACCAUUUUUUUGGCACCGGCUACACAAGAGUAUGGCGAAGUUACUGGCGAGGCGAUCAUAAUGUACAUCAUUUCCAAUGGUGAUUACGAGCCGCAAGAAGUCCGGACUGAUUGCGUUAGCUCAUACGUCUCUAUGAGUAUGACGUAUGACAUGCCGACAUGCGUGUUGCUCGAUUAGGCAAGGUUCUUAAGAAGGUUUGUGACCUCUUCCUCUCCGAAACCGAUUACAAACGAAAUGGAAUAUUCUACAUAAUUUGAGAACUAUAGAGCUACUAAUUUCGGCACUGCUGUCUCGGGGAAUUAAAACGAAAGUUUUAAAUUUUUCAAACCAACCGUUACCUCCACCAGAAGUGUAGUGCAAAGAAAUCAAUUGCUUCAUUAAGUGAAAUUAAGAGAAAAAAAAACAGCUACGACAAUCUUAUGUCAACCCAAACGAAAAACGAAUAGUCAAAAUUAUUACUAACACGAGUCGAAACGUUGAGAAAAAUCUAAUACUGUUGUUCUAAUUCCCCAGGACUGCAGUGCCGAAAUUAGUAGCUCUAUAGAUCACAACAGUCGGACUCUCUUUAUCCGUCACUUGAGAACUAAUCAAGCAAGUGGAACCAAAUUUUGCAUGUGGAACUUUUUGAAGACAAGACAUUUUUGUUGCGGUGCGAGACCCCUUCAUCAAAUAUUGCUUCGUUAUUUAAUAAAAAAUCAGAAACCGAAAAAAUGAGAAAAUGCUUCCAGUUUCGCCUUAAACCAAAAUGCCACCAGGCAGAAUGAUCAUCAUUCCCGAAUUGACACACAGAUUGUAUUUCCUGAUACUUAUGCUACUCACUCCAUCUAGGAUUUUUCCUUCUUUU
Molecule: long non-coding RNA, 2118 nt
Organism: Aedes albopictus (Asian tiger mosquito)
Lineage: Eukaryota; Metazoa; Arthropoda; Insecta; Diptera; Culicidae
Exons: 3
Source: RefSeq, a predicted model, not a curated record